Molecule: ribosomal RNA, 404 nt
Filed under: bacterium
Lineage: Bacteria
Description: partial 16S ribosomal RNA
Rfam family: Bacterial small subunit ribosomal RNA
Source: RNAcentral
UGGGGAAUAUUGGACAAUGGGCGCAAGCCUGAUCCAGCCAUGCCGCGUGAGUGAUGAAGGCCUUAGGGUUGUAAAGCUCUUUCACCGGAGAAGAUAAUGACGGUAUCCGGAGAAGAAGCCCCGGCUAACUUCGUGCCAGCAGCCGCGGUAAUACGAAGGGGGCUAGCGUUGUUCGGAAUUACUGGGCGUAAAGCGCACGUAGGCGGAUCGAUCAGUCAGGGGUGAAAUCCCAGAGCUCAACUCUGGAACUGCCUUUGAUACUGUCGAUCUAGAGUAUGGAAGAGGUGAGUGGAAUUCCGAGUGUAGAGGUGAAAUUCGUAGAUAUUCGGAGGAACACCAGUGGCGAAGGCGGCUCACUGGUCCAUUACUGACGCUGAGGUGCGAUAGCGUGGGGAGCAAACAGG